AACGAACGCUGGCGGCAGGCUUAACACAUGCAAGUCGAACGGGUGUCGCAAGACAUCAGUGGCAGACGGGUGAGUAACACGUGGGAACCUUCCUAGGGGUACGGAACAACUCAGGGAAACUUGAGCUAAUACCGUAUACGUCCGUAAGGAGAAAGAUUCAUCGCCCCUAGACGGGCCCGCGUCGGAUUAGGUAGUUGGUGGGGUAACGGCCUACCAAGCCUACGAUCCGUAGCUGAUCUGAGAGGANGAUCAGCCACACUGGGACUGAGACACGGCCCAGACUCCUACGGGAGGCAGCAGUGGGGAAUCUUGGACAAUGGGCGGCAAGCCUGAUCCAGCCAUGCCGCGUGAGUGAAGAAGGCCUUAGGGUUGUAAAGCUCUUUUACCAGGGACGAUAAUGACGGUACCUGGAGAAUAAGCCCCGGCAAACUUCGUGCCAGCCGCCGCAGUAAC
RNAcentral lists this ribosomal RNA (453 nucleotides) under uncultured bacterium. RNAcentral's name for it is "bacterial SSU rRNA". It matches the Rfam family "Bacterial small subunit ribosomal RNA", at positions 29 to 524 of the family's 1533-position model. The record is from RNAcentral.